CUAGUAGCUCAGCUGGUUAGAGCGCACGCCUGAUAAGCGUGAGGUCGGAGGUUCAAGUCCCCCCUGGCC
This 69-nucleotide transfer RNA is filed under the name bovine gut metagenome. It matches the Rfam family "tRNA". Rfam says of the family: Transfer RNA (tRNA) molecules are approximately 80 nucleotides in length. The record is from RNAcentral.